This 253-nucleotide ribosomal RNA is filed under the name uncultured Rikenellaceae bacterium. Its description in RNAcentral is "partial 16S ribosomal RNA". It matches the Rfam family "Bacterial small subunit ribosomal RNA", at positions 524 to 776 of the family's 1533-position model. The record is from RNAcentral. Lineage: Bacteria; Pseudomonadati; Bacteroidota; Bacteroidia; Bacteroidales; Rikenellaceae.
UACAUAGGGAGCAAGCGUUAUCCGGAUUUAUUGGGUGUAAAGGGUGCGUAGGCGGUCGGAUAAGUUAGAGGUGAAAUCCCGAGGCUCAACUUCGGAAUUGCCUCUGAUACUGUUCGGCUAGAGAGUAGUUGCGGUAGGCGGAAUGUAUGGUGUAGCGGUGAAAUGCUUAGAGAUCAUACAGAACGCCGAUAGCGAAGGCAGCUUACCGGCGCUCAACUGACGCUGAGGCACGAAAGUGCGGGUAUCGAACAGG